Molecule: ribosomal RNA, 253 nt
Filed under: uncultured bacterium
Lineage: Bacteria
Description: partial 16S ribosomal RNA
Rfam family: Bacterial small subunit ribosomal RNA
Source: RNAcentral
UACGGAGGGUGCAAGCGUUAUCCGGAUUCACUGGGCUUAAAGGGUGCGUAGGAGGGCAGGUAAGUCAGUGGUGAAAUCUCCGAGCUUAACUUGGAAACUGCCGUUGAUACUAUCUGCCUUGAAUAUUGUGGAGGUGAGCGGAAUAUGUCAUGUAGCGGUGAAAUGCUUAGAUAUGACAUAGAACACCAAUUGCGAAGGCAGCUCGCUACACAUAUAUUGACUCUGAGGCACGAAAGCGUGGGGAUCAAACAGG